Molecule: long non-coding RNA, 2892 nt
Organism: Ictalurus punctatus (channel catfish)
Lineage: Eukaryota; Metazoa; Chordata; Actinopteri; Siluriformes; Ictaluridae
Source: Ensembl
UUUUUUUUGUUUUGUUUUGUUUUGUAAAUAACUUUGUUCAGCUGUAUUUUAAGCAUCCUGAGUAUAUUCAUCAUGUUGAUAGAUUUAGGGCUGUGAUGGUAUUUGAAGAAAAAAACGUCGUGCCGUGAUAAAUGUACAAUCCGAUACCACAUUUUUCAGUGUAUCACGUUAAUUUUUUACGAAGAGGAUGACCUUAAACGGCACGUAGCAGUGUGGUGGAAGUGCAGCAGGGACUCGGAACAAUACAGAACACACACUUUGGUCUGAUGAUUUUUUUUUUUUUUUUUUUUUUUAGAUUUUAAAAGCACAUUUUCUUAUAGAGAAUAUCGCAGGUUCGUUGUUACACCGUAAUAUCGGCACGGCGCGUAUACUACAACCGAUUUAGACAGGGAAAAGGGGGUCACUUUAAAGAUUCGUCCUUCUCCCUUGUUUUCCGUUUAAAGUCGAGUCGGGAAACUUGUCUUGUCAAGAGAUUUUGCCUGGCUAAACACGGCCCCUUCCCCCAUCUGUAACUCAUUCCCCCUCUCACACACACACACACUUGCUGUGUAUGACCUCGAGGUCACGGUGAAGUGACUUUGAGCCUUGUCUAACUGGGCCUCUUUGAGAGCAGCCCUCGCAUUCCUGCUCACUCAGACAGUCCAUGCGGCGCUUGUUACCAGCGCCGGGGAGGAAGUUUCUGCCGGUAGGGAUUAUGCGCAGUUUCCUCAGCCCGGGAGCUUCGGCCUUGUCCCCUCCCACCGCCGAAAAAAGCAGCGAUUCCACAAAACGAGCAGGAGGGGGAAAGCGGUGCGCCACAAACUUAAACCUGCUCUUCUCGCCACCAGGCAGUGCCCGAAGGUUUCUCCUCGCACUUGCUUUUUAUAUAUUUCUAUAUUUUAAAAACAUAUCUCGAGCUCUGCUUGCGCACCACGGUACGUUUUUCAGUAGGAAACAUCCAACGUUUCGGCCAUGUUCGCAGCACCGUGGUACAGAAGUGCAUUGUAUUGGGACCCGAGUAAGGAAGGAGGGAGCGAGGGAGGAGGAGGAGGAGGAGGAGGAGGAGGAUGGUGGUGCUGGAGAAGCACACAGCUGCACGGCACACAGAAGCCGGUUUCCCAACCCUGACAGCAAGGGAGCGAGGGAACAAGGGGCCUCGCUUCAGCAGCUCCAUCCAGGAGAGAGAUGUUCUUUCUUUCUUUCUUUCUUUCUUUCUUUGUAUUUUUUAUUUUUUUUAAACCGCUCUGAAAUACAGAAUGGAUCAGGACGAGAAAGCGGAUUCUUUUCCCUUGUCCGUGGCUGGCUACUCUUAUCCACUACAUGCGACGAGCGGGCGUGCGUGCGAUACGUUUCCGGAGCCGUGCUACAUCAGGAAAGGAUUGAUCAGUGCAGGACGAAGGCUUUGCAGCAGUCGAGAUUGAGCGAGUGAGAGCGAGUAGGAGAGGGAGAGGAGGAUGUAGCGAGAGGAGAGGAGAGGAGGAUAUAGCGAGAGGAGAGGAGAGGGAGGGCGCUCAGCGCAGCACGCCGCUGCCGACUGGAUCUCAGACACGCCGAGGCGCCGAAGAGACUCUGUGCCAGACAGGAAUAGAAAGUUAAGAAGUCACCUUGUGCAGCAUGCAGGUUUGGGUACACCUUACGUGCUGAUGUUAUCGCCUGAUGUAAAGCGACGCGUUCUCCUAACUGAAGUCUGUGACUUUCCCCAGAAGUCAUCCUGGUCGACCUAAAGGCUUUUCCACGUCGGCCAUGCAUAAGUCAUGUAGCGCUACCCUUGCGGCAGUGUGUGUGUGUGUGUGUGUGUGUAAGUCACGUGGUAGGGUGUGCAGUAAGGAAAGCACAGCUGGUAAGUUCUGCAUAUACAGAAGACUCACAGACACACACACACACACACACACACACACACACAUACAUACAUACAUACAUACAUACAUACAUAUAUAUAUAUAUAUAUAUAUACACAUAUAUACACUGUUCACAUUUGUCUUAGUGUCCUUGUGAGGACCGUCCAAUGAGGACCAGCCAAAUGUCCCCGCAAGGUCAAACCUGCCGGAUAUUCUUACCCUUGUGGGGACCAAGAUAUAAAUGCAUGCCCACACACACACACAUGUUAGGACAUGCAUACAAUUAUGCACACACAGAGUACUACAGUCCUAUAUACAAUGUGUAGAAACAUACACACACACACACACACACACACCCAGAGAGGCCUAUAACUUCCAUAAUAACACAAACUUAAUAAGUAUAACUUAUUCUGUGGGUCCUUUAAUUCAAUGCCAUAUAUAUAUAUAAUGUGCUUAUACUGUAAAGCUAAUAAAUAUGAAAUAGAAAAAUAAUAAAAUAAUAAUUUAUACAUAUUUCAACGUGUCUUUGAAAUUUCAAAAUGAUCAAUAAAGUAUAAUGGAAAUAAUCCUUUUCUGUCUCUCCUAAUGUGUUGAUGUAUUGUUCGUUAUUUUGAGCGUGUUGUGUCACUACAUGUCCUGGUGUCCAUCAACUUCACAUCCAAACAUCACACAAUAAAGCCCGUCAUUUUCACCGUGUCGUUUGAAAUUCUGAACCUUCUGAACUUUGAACCUCGUUAUGUUACUUGCUAAUGCUAGGUAGCCAAGCAGCACGAUAUUGAGAGAACUAGCCACCCUGCAAGAAAAUUCGGGAUACCGAACCGUACCUUUCCUGUAUGUUGGUGGUGUGGUGACGCUAAUAGUUUGUAUCUUUCACCUAGAAAUGUUGAUAUGGUGUACCUUUAAAUAAAGGCACGUAAAUGGAUUUUAAAGUUACACUACGUGUGUGUGUGUGUGUGUUGAUACACAAUGUAUAUGGGACUGUAGUACUCUGUGUGUGCAUAAUUGUAUUUAUGUCACAACGUGUGUGUGUGUUUGUUUUUUGUGUGCAUAAUUGUAUAUUAUAAUAGUGUGAGUG